RNAcentral lists this ribosomal RNA (434 nucleotides) under uncultured bacterium. RNAcentral describes it as "partial 16S ribosomal RNA". It matches the Rfam family "Bacterial small subunit ribosomal RNA", at positions 29 to 507 of the family's 1533-position model. The record is from RNAcentral.
AGCGAACGCUGGCGGCAGGCCUAACACAUGCAAGUCGAACGAACCUUUCGGGGUUAGUGGCGGACGGGUGAGUAACACGUGGGAACGUGCCUUUAGGUUCGGAAUAACUCAGGGAAACUUGUGCUAAUACCGAAUGUGCCCUUCGGGGGAAAGAUUAAUCGCCUUUAGAGCGGCCCGCGUCUAAUUAGCUAGUUGGUUGAGGUAAUGGCUCACCAAGGCGACGAUCAGUAGCUGGUCUGAGAGGAUGAUCAGCCACAUUGGGACUGAGACACGGCCCAAACUCCUACGGGAGGCAGCAGUGGGGAAUCUUGCGCAAUGGGCGAAAGCCUGACGCAGCCAUGCCGCGUGAAUGAUGAAGGUCUUAGGAUUGUAAAAUUCUUUCACCGGGGACGAUAAUGACGGUACCCGGAGAAGAAGCCCCGGCUAACUUCGUG